GCUGGGCAUCUUGGCGCAUGCCUGUAAUCCCAGCAGCCCUGGAGGCUGAGGCAGGAGGAUCGAGAGUUCAAAGCCAGCCUCAGCAAUUUAGCGAAGCUAAGCAACUCCGUGAGAUCCUGUCUCUA
Molecule: small RNA, 125 nt
Filed under: Marmota monax (woodchuck)
Lineage: Eukaryota; Metazoa; Chordata; Mammalia; Rodentia; Sciuridae
Source: RNAcentral